GUGGGUAGAGCUCAGUGUUACAGUGCAUGCCUAGCAUGCAUGAGGUCCUGAGUUCAAUCCCCAGUACCUCCA
RNAcentral lists this transfer RNA (72 nucleotides) under Camelus bactrianus (Bactrian camel). It matches the Rfam family "tRNA". From Rfam's summary of the family: Transfer RNA (tRNA) molecules are approximately 80 nucleotides in length. Their secondary structure includes four short double-helical elements and three loops (D, anti-codon, and T loops). RNAcentral also lists the same sequence under 2 other names. Lineage: Eukaryota; Metazoa; Chordata; Mammalia; Artiodactyla; Camelidae. The record is from Rfam by way of RNAcentral.